GUGGGGAAUCUUGCGCAAUGGGCGAAAGCCUGACGCAGCCAUGCCGCGUGAAUGAUGAAGGUCUUAGGAUUGUAAAAUUCUUUCACCGGGGACGAUAAUGACGGUACCCGGAGAAGAAGCCCCGGCUAACUUCGUGCCAGCAGCCGCGGUAAUACGAAGGGGGCUAGCGUUGCUCGGAAUUACUGGGCGUAAAGGGCGCGUAGGCGGACAGUUUAGUCAGAGGUGAAAGCCCAGGGCUCAACCUUGGAAUUGCCUUUGAUACUGGCUGUCUUGAGUACGGGAGAGGUGAGUGGAACUCCGAGUGUAGAGGUGAAAUUCGUAGAUAUUCGGAAGAACACCAGUGGCGAAGGCGACUCACUGGCCCAAUACUGACGCUGAGGCGCGAAAGCGUGGGGAGCAAACAGGAUUAGAUACCCCUGUAGUCC
Molecule: ribosomal RNA, 425 nt
Filed under: uncultured bacterium
Lineage: Bacteria
Description: partial 16S ribosomal RNA
Rfam family: Bacterial small subunit ribosomal RNA
Source: RNAcentral